ACUGGUACUGUGAAGCUGUCCAAGGUGAUGGGAGAAUGCAGAACGCAGGCACAGCUCAUUCAGCUCUCCAGGGCGAGCAUUUCCAACCCUGCCUGAUGCUUUGCAGAUCGGUCCCUGUCAGGAGCAAAUGCCAAAAUUUUGUAACCUUUGAGGCUAAGUCACAGAGCUGGAAGUGCAACCUCACAUGUUCAAUGAAAAAAAA
Molecule: small RNA, 202 nt
Filed under: Bos taurus (domestic cattle)
Lineage: Eukaryota; Metazoa; Chordata; Mammalia; Artiodactyla; Bovidae
Source: RNAcentral